This 465-nucleotide ribosomal RNA is filed under the name Vreelandella stevensii. Its description in RNAcentral is "partial 16S ribosomal RNA". It matches the Rfam family "Bacterial small subunit ribosomal RNA", at positions 338 to 795 of the family's 1533-position model. The record is from RNAcentral. Lineage: Bacteria; Pseudomonadati; Pseudomonadota; Gammaproteobacteria; Oceanospirillales; Halomonadaceae.
CCUACGGGCGGCUGCAGUGGGGAAUAUUGGACAAUGGGGGCAACCCUGAUCCAGCCAUGCCGCGUGUGUGAAGAAGGCCCUCGGGUUGUAAAGCACUUUCAGUGAGGAAGAACGCCUGGUGGUUAAUACCCAUCAGGAAAGACAUCACUCACAGAAGAAGCACCGGCUAACUCCGUGCCAGCAGCCGCGGUAAUACGGAGGGUGCGAGCGUUAAUCGGAAUUACUGGGCGUAAAGCGCGCGUAGGUGGCUUGAUAAGCCGGUUGUGAAAGCCCCGGGCUCAACCUGGGAACGGCAUCCGGAACUGUCAAGCUAGAGUGCAGGAGAGGAAGGUAGAAUUCCAGGUGUAGCGGUGAAAUGCGUAGAGAUCGGGAGGAAUACCAGUGGCGAAGGCGGCCUUCUGGACUGACACUGACACUGAGGUGCGAAAGCGUGGGUAGCAAACAGGAUUAGAUACCCCGGUAGUC